This 492-nucleotide ribosomal RNA is filed under the name uncultured bacterium. RNAcentral's name for it is "partial 16S ribosomal RNA". It matches the Rfam family "Bacterial small subunit ribosomal RNA", at positions 29 to 507 of the family's 1533-position model. The record is from RNAcentral.
AGUGAACGCUGGCGGUAGGCCUAACACAUGCAAGUCGAACGGCAGCACAGUAAGAGCUUGCUCUUACGGGUGGCGAGUGGCGGACGGGUGAGGAAUACAUCGGAAUCUACUUUUUCGUGGGGGAUAACGUAGGGAAACUUACGCUAAUACCGCAUACGACCUACGGGUGAAAGCAGGGGAUCUUCGGACCUUGCGCGAUUGAAUGAGCCGAUGUCGGAUUAGCUAGUUGGCGGGGUAAAGACCCACCAAGGCGACGAUCCGUAGCUGGUCUGAGAGGAUGAUCAGCCACACUGGAACUGAGACACGGUCCAGACUCCUACGGGAGGCAGCAGUGGGGAAUAUUGGACAGUGGGCGCAAGCCUGAUCCAGCCAUACCGCGUGGGUGAAGAAGGCCUUCGGGUUGUAAAGCCCUUUUGUUGGGAAAGAAAAGCAGCAGGUUAAUACCCCGCUGUUCUGACGGUACCCAAAGAAUAAGCACCGGCUAACUUCGUG